AUGAUGAGGAUACAACAGACUUACCGAGAUCAACUCCACGGUCCCCUGGAUUCAGUAACAGUAACAGGGAGGCUCCGUGUCCCACGGACGAAACCGGGAGGUCGAAGCAGCCACUUCGGGACAAAACCCUCAAAACUUGGCACCUUCGGCCGGGCGUGGGGGCUCCAGCCUGGAAUCCCACCACGUCGGGAGGCCGAGGAGGGCGGAUCACGAGGCCUGGAGUUCGAGACCAGCCUGACCAAUGUGGUGAAACCGCAUCUCCACGAAAAAUACAGAAAUGAGCCGGGCUGGUGGGGCCCGUGGUCCCGGACACUCAGGAGGCUGAGGCCGGAGAAUCGCUUGAACCCGGGAGGCGGAGGUUACAGGGGGCUGAGGUUGAACCACUGCACUCAACACCCACACAGACUCACACACACACACACACAUCACACCCCACACACCCUCACACAAACCCACAUAUCACAUACCACACACAGGCAACACACCUCACACACAUCAGACACGCAACACACCCCACACUCACACACCCCACACACAGCCCCUCACACACACACACACAUCACACCCACACAAUCACACCCCACACACACCCUCACACAAACCCACAUAUCACAUACCACACACAGGCAACACACCCCACACACAUCAGACAUACAACACACCCCACACACACACACCCCACACAGCCCCUCACACACACACACACAUCACACACCCGACGCCCACACAUCACACACCCAACAUAGCCCACACACCCCCAUGCCCCACAGCCCCACACAUCACACACACCCUCACACCCACACACAAACCCACAUACACAUCACAUACCACACACAGGCAACACACCCCACACACAUCAGACAUACAACACACCCCACACAGCCCCUCACACACACAUCACACCCCACACACACGCAACACACCCCACACAGCCCCUCACACACACAUCACACCCCACACACCCUCACACAAACCCACAUAUCACAUACCACACACAGGCAACACACCCCACACACAUCAGACAUACAACACACCCCACACACAUCACACCCCACACACACGCAACACACCCCACACACACCCCCAUGCCCCACAGCCCCACACAUCACACCCUCACACCCACACACAAACCCAUAUACACAUCACAUACCACACACAGGCAACACACCCCACACACAUCAGACACACAACACACCCCACACACACACACCCCACACAGCCCCUCACACACACAUCACACACACGCAACACACCCCACACACACACCCCACAGCCCCUCACACACACAUCACACACCCCAUACACAGCCCACACAGCCCCUCACACACACACCCCCACACACAUCACACACACGCAACACACCCCACACACCCGCAUGCCCCACAGCCCCACACAUCACACCCACACACACAUCACAUACCACACACAGGCAACACACCCCACACCCUCACACACACCCCACACAGCACCUCAUACACACAUCACACACCCCACACCCUCACACCCACACACCCCACACAGCCCCUCACACACACACACCCACACACAUCACACCCCACACACACCCUCACACAAACCCACAUAUCACAUACCACACACAGGCAACACACCCCACACACAUCCCCUCACACAUCACACACCCCAUACACAGCCCACACCCUCACACCCACACACAGCCCCACACACACACAUGCAACACACCCCACACACACCCCCAUACCCCACAGCCCCACACAUCACACACACCCUCACACCCACACACACAUCACACCCCACACACACCCUCACACAAACCCACGUAUCACAUACCACACACAGGCAACACACCCCACACACAUCAGACACGCAACACACCCCACACACACACACCCCACACAGCCCCUCACACACACAUCACACACCCCAUACACAGCCCACACCCUGACACCCCACACAGCCCCUCACACACACCCCCACACACAUCACACCCCACACACCCUCACACAAACCCACAUAUCACAUACCACACACAGGCAACACACCCCACACACAUCAGACAUACAACACACCCCACACACACACACCCCACACAGCCCCUCACACACACACACAUCACACACCACACACACGCAACACACCCCACACAGCCCCUCACACACACAUCACACACCCCAUACACAGACCACACCCUCACACCCCACACACAGCCCCUCACACACACACCCCCACACACAUCACACACACACAGGCAACACCCCCCCCACACACACACCCCACACAGCCCCUCACACAUCACACACCCCAUACACAGCCCACACCCUCACACCCACACACAGCCCCUCACACCCACACACAUCACACACACACACAUCACACACACACACAACACACCCCACACACCCCCAUGCCCCACAGCCCCACACAUCACACCCACACACAAACCCACAUACACAUCACAUACCACACACAGGCAACACACCCCACACACACACACCCCACACACAGCACCUCAUACAUCACACACCCCAUACACAGCCCACACCCUCACACCCACACACCCCACACAGCCCCACACACACCCACACACAUCACACACCACACACACACCCGACGCCCACACAUCACACACCCAACAUACCCCACACACCCCCAUGCCCCACAGCCCCACACAUCACACACACCCUCACACCCACACACAAACCCACAUACACAUCACAUACCACACACAGGCAACACACCCCACACACACACACCCCACACAAAGCCCCAGACACACUAAACACACCCCACAUAUACCCCCACGCCCCCCACAGCCCCUGA
Molecule: long non-coding RNA, 2799 nt
Filed under: Callithrix jacchus (white-tufted-ear marmoset)
Lineage: Eukaryota; Metazoa; Chordata; Mammalia; Primates; Cebidae
Description: lncRNA (ENSCJAG00000071157.1)
Source: RNAcentral